Molecule: transfer RNA, 73 nt
Filed under: Apaloderma vittatum (bar-tailed trogon)
Lineage: Eukaryota; Metazoa; Chordata; Aves; Trogoniformes; Trogonidae
Rfam family: tRNA
About the family: Transfer RNA (tRNA) molecules are approximately 80 nucleotides in length. Their secondary structure includes four short double-helical elements and three loops (D, anti-codon, and T loops).
Source: Rfam by way of RNAcentral
GGCCAGUUAGCUCAAUCAGUUGAGUAUGGCGCUCACAACGCCAAGGCCACGGGUUCGAUUCCUGUUCGGUCCC